This 465-nucleotide ribosomal RNA is filed under the name uncultured bacterium. RNAcentral's name for it is "partial 16S ribosomal RNA". It matches the Rfam family "Bacterial small subunit ribosomal RNA", at positions 28 to 507 of the family's 1533-position model. The record is from RNAcentral.
GACGAACGCUGGCGGCGUGCUUAACACAUGCAAGUCGAACGGAAAGGCCCUGCUUGCAGGGUACUCGAGUGGCGAACGGGUGAGUAACACGUGGGUGAUCUGCCCUGCACUUCGGGAUAAGCCUGGGAAACUGGGUCUAAUACCGGAUAGGAGCCAUUUUUAGUGUGAUGGUUGGAAAGUUUUUUCGGUGUAGGAUGAGCUCGCGGCCUAUCAGCUUGUUGGUGGGGUAAUGGCCUACCAAGGCGGCGACGGGUAGCCGGCCUGAGAGGGUGGACGGCCACAUUGGGACUGAGAUACGGCCCAGACUCCUACGGGAGGCAGCAGUGGGGAAUAUUCCACAAUGGGCGCAAGCCUGAUGCAGCGACGCCGCGUGGGGGAUGACGGCCUUCGGGUUGUAAACUCCUUUCGCUAGGGACGAAGCUUUUUGUGACGGUACCUAGAUAAGAAGCACCGGCUAACUACGUG